UAAUGAUGGCAAUUUGAACCAAAAUAUCAAGGCAUUCAUGCUAGGCAGAUGAUCAUGUGCCAUUGGUGCUGCAAAAUAUAAACCAAGCUGGCGCCAUAACGAUGACAAGUUUAACCAAAAUAUCAAGGCAUUCAUGCUAGGCAGAUGAUCAUGUACCAUUGGUGCUGCAAAAUAUAAACCUAGCUGGAGACAUAACGAUGACAACUUUAACCAAAAUAUCACCACAUUCAUGCUAGGCAGUUGAUAAUCAAUCAAUGGCACAGCAAAUUAUAAAGCUAAAUGGAGACCAAACAAUGUCAUGCUAAGCAGUUGAUAAUCAAUCAAUGGCACAGCAAAUUAUAAAACUAAUUGGAGACCAAGAAACGAUGCCAAUCUUUACCAAAAUAUCACCACACUCAUGCUACGUAGUUCAUCGCGUGCCAUAUGUAACAAAAGAUUAGUCUUCUCGCGAACCACGGGAGCGCCCAGCGGCCAGAAGAGCAAAGCUCAUUUUCAAAAGAGGGUCAAGCGAGAAAUUGUGCAUAUAGAAAACUGUAAAGAAAGCGAUCAUCGUCUACCAAUGGCACAGCAAAUUAUAAAACCAAGUGCAGACCAAAAGACGCGGAUUUUUACCAAAACAUCACCACAUUCAUGCUAGGCAGUCAAUCAUGUACCAAUGACAAGAGCAAAUUAUAAAACACGUUGGUGACCAAAUUGGACCAAAUGGUGUCGAUUUUUACCAAAAAUAUCAAGGGCAUUCAAGCCAGGCAGUUGAUCAUCUACCAAUGGGACUAGCAAAAUGUAAAACUGUUGGGAGACCAAAUCAUGUUGAUUUUACCAAAAAUAUCAAAAAAGCAUUCGUGCCAGGCAGUCGAUCAUCUACCAGUGGCACAGAAAAAUGUAAAACUCAUUGGAGACGAAAUCAUGUCCAUUUUACCGAAAUAUCGCGGGCAUUCAUGCCAGGCAGUCGAUCAUCUACCGAUGGCACAGCAAAAUGUAAAACUCACUGCAGACCAAAUCAUGUCGAUUCUACCGAAAUAUCAAGGGCAUUCAUUCUAGGCAGUCAAUCAUCUACCAGUGGCACAGCAAAAUGUAAACCUCGUUGGAGACCAAAUCAUGUCCAUUUGUUUUACUGAAAUAUCACGGGCAAUCAUGCCAGGCAGUGGAUCGUCUACCAAUGGCACAGCAAAAUGUAGAACUCACUGGAGACCAAACGAUGUUAAUUUUACGGAAAUAUCAAGGGCAUUCAAGCUACGCAGUUGAUCAUCUACCAAUGGCACACAGCAAAAUGUAAAACUCAUUGGAGACCAAAUCAUGUCGAUUUUUACCAAAAAUAUCAAGGGGCAUUCAUGCUAGGCAGUCAAUAAUCUAUCAAUGACAAAAGCAAAAUGUAAAACUGUUGGGAGACCAAAUCAUGUUGAUUUUACCAAAAAUAUCAAAAAAGCAUUCAUGCCAGGCAGCAAAAUGUAAAACUGUUGGAUGCCAAAUCAUGUCCAUUUUACCGAAAUAUUAAAAAAGCAUUCAUGCCAGGCAGUGGGUCAUCUACCAAUGGCACAGCAGCGAAACGCAAAACUGUUGGAGACCAAAUCAUGUCGAUUUUACCAAAAAUAUCAAAAAGGAAUUCAAGCCAGGCAGUGGAUCAUCUGCCAGUGGCACAGAAAAAAUGUAAAACUCAUUGGAUGCCCAAAUCAUGUCCANN
This 1678-nucleotide long non-coding RNA is filed under the name Triticum aestivum (bread wheat). RNAcentral describes it as "long non-coding RNA (TAES_LNC019889)". The record is from RNAcentral. Lineage: Eukaryota; Viridiplantae; Streptophyta; Magnoliopsida; Poales; Poaceae.